UAGGGAAUCUUCGGCAAUGGGGGGAACCCUGACCGAGCAACGCCGCGUGAGUGAAGAAGGUCUUCGGAUCGUAAAGCUCUGUUGUUAAGGAAGAACGAGUGUGAGAAUGGAAAGUUCAUGCUGUGACGGUACUUAACCAGAAAGCCACGGCUAACUACGUGCCAGCAGCCGCGGUAAUACGUAGGUGGCAAGCGUUGUCCGGAUUUAUUGGGCGUAAAGCGAGCGCAGGCGGUCAAUUAAGUCUGAUGUGAAAGCCCCCGGCUCAACCGGGGAGGGUCAUUGGAAACUGGUUGACUUGAGUGCAGAAGAGGAGAGUGGAAUUCCAUGUGUAGCGGUGAAAUGCGUAGAUAUAUGGAGGAACACCAGUGGCGAAGGCGACUCUCUGGUCUGUAACUGACGCUGAGGCUCGAAAGCGUGGGGAGCGAACAGG
This 430-nucleotide ribosomal RNA is filed under the name Bacteroidota bacterium. Its description in RNAcentral is "Bacteroidetes bacterium partial 16S ribosomal RNA". It matches the Rfam family "Bacterial small subunit ribosomal RNA", at positions 355 to 776 of the family's 1533-position model. Lineage: Bacteria; Pseudomonadati; Bacteroidota. The record is from RNAcentral.